AUUGAACGCUGGCGGCAUGCCUUACACAUGCAAGUCGAACGGCAGCACGGAGCUUGCUCUGGUGGCGAGUGGCGAACGGGUGAGUAAUAUAUCGGAACGUACCCUGGAGUGGGGGAUAACGUAGCGAAAGUUACGCUAAUACCGCAUACGAUCUAAGGAUGAAAGUGGGGGACUCGCAAGAGCCUCAUGCUCGUGGAGCGGCCGAUAUCUGAUUAGCUAGUUGGUAGGGUAAAAGCCUACCAAGGCAUCGAUCGGUAGCUGGUCUGAGAGGACGACCAGCCACACUGGAACUGAGACACGGUCCAGACUCCUACGGGAGGCAGCAGUGGGGAAUUUUGGACAAUGGGCGCAAGCCUGAUCCAGCAAUGCCGCGUGAGUGAAGAAGGCCUUCGGGUUGUAAAGCUCUUUUGUCAGGGAAGAAACGGUGAGAGCUAAUAUCUUUUGCUAAUGACGGUACCUGAAGAAUAAGCACCGGCUAACUACGUGCCAGCAGCCGCGGUAAUACGUAGGGUGCAAGCGUUAAUCGGAAUUACUGGGCGUAAAGCGUGCGCAGGCGGUUUUGUAAGUCUGAUGUGAAAUCCCCGGGCUCAACCUGGGAAUUGCAUUGGAGACUGCGAGGCUAGAAUCUGGCAGAGGGGGGUAGAAUUCCACGUGUAGCAGUGAAAUGCGUAGAUAUGUGGAGGAACACCGAUGGCGAAGGCAGCCCCCUGGGUCAAGAUUGACGCUCAUGCACGAAAGCGUGGGGAGCAAACAGGAUUAGAUACCCUGGUAGUCCACGCCCUAAACGAUGUCUACUAGUUGUCGGGUCUUAAUUGACUUGGUAACGCAGCUAACGCGUGAAGUAGACCGCCUGGGGAGUACGGUCGCAAGAUUAAAACUCAAAGGAAUUGACGGGGACCCGCACAAGCGGUGGAUGAUGUGGAUUAAUUCGAUGCAACGCGAAAAACCUUACCUACCCUUGACAUGGAUGGAAUCCCGAAGAGAUUUGGGAGUGCUCGAAAGAGAACCAUUACACAGGUGCUGCAUGGCUGUCGUCAGCUCGUGUCGUGAGAUGUUGGGUUAAGUCCCGCAACGAGCGCAACCCUUGUCAUUAGUUGCUACGAAAGGGCACUCUAAUGAGACUGCCGGUGACAAACCGGAGGAAGGUGGGGAUGACGUCAAGUCCUCAUGGCCCUUAUGGGUAGGGCUUCACACGUCAUACAAUGGUACAUACAGAGCGCCGCCAACCCGCGAGGGGGAGCUAAUCGCAGAAAGUGUAUCGUAGUCCGGAUUGUAGUCUGCAACUCGACUGCAUGAAGUUGGAAUCGCUAGUAAUCGCGGAUCAGCAUGUCGCGGUGAAUACGUUCCCGGGUCU
Molecule: ribosomal RNA, 1354 nt
Filed under: uncultured bacterium
Lineage: Bacteria
Description: bacterial SSU rRNA
Rfam family: Bacterial small subunit ribosomal RNA
Source: RNAcentral